RNAcentral lists this long non-coding RNA (206 nucleotides) under Mytilus galloprovincialis (Mediterranean mussel). Lineage: Eukaryota; Metazoa; Mollusca; Bivalvia; Mytilida; Mytilidae. The record is from RNAcentral.
GACCCAAUGGUGACUUUAAUCACCAUUAUCACAUCACCUGAUCAUAACUACAUGGUGACUUUAUUAUUCUUUAUCACUUUACUUGAUCAUGACCACAUGGUGACUUUAAUAGCCAUUAUCACUUCACCUGAUCAUGACUACAUGGUGACUUUAUUAUCCUUUAUCACUCUACUUGGUCAUGACUACAUGUUGACUUUACUCAUCGC